Molecule: ribosomal RNA, 448 nt
Filed under: uncultured bacterium
Lineage: Bacteria
Description: bacterial SSU rRNA
Rfam family: Bacterial small subunit ribosomal RNA
Source: RNAcentral
AACGAACGCUGGCGGCAGGCCUAACACAUGCAAGUCGAGCGCCCGUAGCAAUACGGGAGCGGCAGACGGGUGAGUAACACGUGGGAACGUGCCCAAAGGUACGGAACAACUCCGGGAAACUGGAGCUAAUACCGUAUGUGCCCGAAAGGGGAAGAUUUAUCGCCUUUGGAUCGGCCCGCGUCUGAUUAGCUAGUUGGUGAGGUAAUGGCUCACCAAGGCGACGAUCAGUAGCUGGCUGAGAGGAUGAUCAGCCACACUGGGACUGAGACACGGCCCAGACUCCUACGGGAGGCAGCAGUGGGGAAUAUUGGACAAUGGGCGCAAGCCUGAUCCAGCCAUGCCGCGUGAGUGAUGAAGGCCCUAGGGUUGUAAAGCACUUUAGGCUGGAAAGAAAAGACUUCACCUAAUACGUGAAGCCUUGACGGUACCAGCAGAAUAAGCACCGGCU